CUGGCUGUGUGGGAGCUGAGGAGAGCAGACUGUUGGCAUCUGCCAUGGUGGCCCCGGCAACUCAACAACGACACACAUCAGGCUUUCAGCAGACUAAAGAGGCUGAAUUUUUACCAUUAGCAUCCAGUGCAAGGAUAUCUGCAGCAUGCAGAAUCUCCACUGUUAGUCUUUGCUCCGGAGCAUCAUAGUAGCACUUCACGCUGAUCCGACCAUAACAG
Long non-coding RNA from Etheostoma spectabile (orangethroat darter), 218 nucleotides. RefSeq lists it as uncharacterized. Lineage: Eukaryota; Metazoa; Chordata; Actinopteri; Perciformes; Percidae. The record is from RefSeq and is a predicted model, not a curated record. The transcript has 2 exons.